AAAUGUSWGGAGUCGAACCAGUGAGCGUUGAAAAGCUUUUGGAUGAGAUGUGGGUAGGGGUGAAAUGCCAAUCGAACGUGGAGAUAGCUGGUUCUCCCCGAAAUAGCUUUAGGGCUAGCCUCAUGGCGAGAGUACAGGCGGUAGAGCACUGAACGGGGUAGGGGCCUAUCCGGCUACUGAACCUAAUCAAACUGCGAAUGGCUGUACUUAUCCAUGGGAGUCAGACUGUGAGUAAUAAGGCCCAUAGUCAAGAGGGAAACAGCCCAGACCAACAGCUAAGGUCCC
RNAcentral lists this ribosomal RNA (285 nucleotides) under Megasphaera sp. NM10. Its description in RNAcentral is "partial 23S ribosomal RNA". It matches the Rfam family "Bacterial large subunit ribosomal RNA", at positions 761 to 1049 of the family's 2925-position model. The record is from RNAcentral. Lineage: Bacteria; Bacillati; Bacillota; Negativicutes; Veillonellales; Veillonellaceae.